AUGAUCACCUCAGUCUCUUUGUGUUUCAGGCACCUCUGGGGUAUCUCUUGCCACAACAGUUGCCCCUGGAAGUUUCAGCACAGCAGCCACAACUUCUUCUGGAGCAAGUGGAAUAACUGGGGCUGGCCCCACCUCAGAGACCACAACUUCCCUAGGAGGAAGUGGUACCACUGGAGCAGAAAUAAAAUCAGCUGCAGUGCCCUCUGGUACAACAGUUGCCCUUGGGAGCUCCAACUCAGGUAAAGCACCAGGCUGGGAGGAACCAGUGCUUGGGAAGGGCUCCUCAGUGAGUUGUCUGCCUGGGUGAUCCUACCAUACUCUUCUCAGAUUCUUCAAAUCUUUGUCCUCACUGUUAUUCCUCUUCUCUCAUUUGCAGAAGCCACAACUUCUGUAGGAGAAAAUGGAAAAACAAGAGGUGAAAUAAUCACAGGUGAGCUCCGUUAAGGAACUAAGUGUACUUUGUAAUAACUUCCCAUGUCUCACU
RNAcentral lists this long non-coding RNA (484 nucleotides) under Pan paniscus (pygmy chimpanzee). RNAcentral's name for it is "lncRNA (ENSPPAG00000044813.1)". The record is from RNAcentral. Lineage: Eukaryota; Metazoa; Chordata; Mammalia; Primates; Hominidae.